RNAcentral lists this ribosomal RNA (579 nucleotides) under uncultured bacterium. RNAcentral describes it as "bacterial SSU rRNA". It matches the Rfam family "Bacterial small subunit ribosomal RNA", at positions 543 to 1121 of the family's 1533-position model. The record is from RNAcentral.
GUCCGGAAUUACUGGGCGUAAAGAGCUCGUAGGUGGUUUGUCGCGUUGUUCGUGAAAUCUCACGGCUUAACUGUGAGCGUGCGGGCGAUACGGGCAGACUUGAGUACUGCAGGGGAGACUGGAAUUCCUGGUGUAGCGGUGGAAUGCGCAGAUAUCAGGAGGAACACCGGUGGCGAAGGCGGGUCUCUGGGCAGUAACUGACGCUGAGGAGCGAAAGCGUGGGGAGCGAACAGGAUUAGAUACCCUGGUAGUCCACGCCGUAAACGGUGGGUACUAGGUGUGGGUUUCCUUCCUUGGGAUCCGUGCCGUAGCUAACGCAUUAAGUACCCCGCCUGGGGAGUACGGCCGCAAGGCUAAAACUCAAAGAAAUUGACGGGGGCCCGCACAAGCGGCGGAGCAUGUGGAUUAAUUCGAUGCAACGCGAAGAACCUUACCUGGGUUUGACAUGCACAGGACGCCGGCAGAGAUGUCGGUUCCCUUGUGGCCUGUGUGCAGGUGGUGCAUGGCUGUCGUCAGCUCGUGUCGUGAGAUGUUGGGUUAAGUCCCGCAACGAGCGCAAACCUGGUCUCAUGUUGCCAG